UCUAGUUUAAGGUAGACAUAAAACGUGCACCUAAAAUCGUGUAGUGACGCCACAGAUUGAAUUGUAUCCAGCAAUUAUCAGAUAUUAACGAAAAGUUAUCCUAAAACUUGUAAAAAUAGUUAUCCUAAAACUUGUUAAACAGUGGUAAUAUAAAUUGCCUUUGGAAUAGUGUUAAAGCGCGUGUGCUCCCUUAGGGACCGGGCUUGGUUAGUACCAUCCCAAUCUAGCUUAGGAUUCCCUACUCAACGUGGGGUGCUUAUGUGUACCCAACGUAAGUACACGCGCGGCUGUUUCUAACCGCCACCGAGUGAGUAAGACGAUCAACGAGAUCGAGCAGUGGUUCCCCAAUAUAAACCAGCUAUUCGUCCCAGCCGUGGGUGUGGUGUGAUUUUUCCACCCAUACGGCUCAUUACCACCCACCAAGCUCCAGUGCAGUGUAAAGUGCUCGCUCACCAACGUUUCGGUCGCCGUCAGAAGUGUUCAUUCGAACAACACGCAUACGCACCCGGUCACUCGAGGAAAUCUGCUCGACCGGAAGGCACUGUCGGUGCAGUUCACGCGUUCAUUGGCGCACCGUUCAAUCAGCACGAGUACCUGGGAGCUCGAAAUCGCUACGCGCAUUUCGUAAAGGAGAUAGCUUCUCACUGCUCGACCACGUGAUGGUAAUAUCGAUUUGAUCGCUGGACUUUACGCGUACGCCAACGAGUUCAUCCACACCACUUCGACGCGUCGUGGGAGCUUCCCACCAAGAGCCAGGUUUAGGGUAGAAAUAAGGUAGGAUAGACAGUAAGACCGCCCUUCCCUCCAAUGUAAAACCCUAAAACGAAAUGCACGAUUAAUAUAAAUCUGUCUGAGUUUGCCAUUUCUAUAUUCUUUGUUCAAAUGGUAUUUUUAGUAAUUUUUUUCUCAAUGGUUUGAUCGGUUUGAUGAACAAUAUUUUCCACUUGGUCCAAAGGGUUCCCAAUUUAUUUGCUUCGGGUUUGGGUAGUUGAAGUGAACGAGAGUGUUUGAACCACUUAACUCGCCUAAAGAUAAGGGUCUCAGCCGGACUCCAACGUACGUCAGCAGCCUCCCUGGUACUGGGAGUGGCGCUUAAGCUGCUGAACGGUUGUAAGGACAUACUUCUUCGUUACAAUUUGGCGCCCAACGUGGGGCCGGUAAAGUGGUUAACUAGUUGAAUUCAUUUGGAUUUUGUUGAGAUAGUUUAGAUUUUCUUUCACUGUAAUAUAGU
This is a long non-coding RNA of Armigeres subalbatus, 1231 nucleotides long. RefSeq lists it as uncharacterized. The transcript has 3 exons. The record is from RefSeq and is a predicted model, not a curated record. Lineage: Eukaryota; Metazoa; Arthropoda; Insecta; Diptera; Culicidae.